RNAcentral lists this long non-coding RNA (3973 nucleotides) under Macaca mulatta (Rhesus monkey). Its description in RNAcentral is "lncRNA (ENSMMUG00000051518.1)". The record is from RNAcentral. Lineage: Eukaryota; Metazoa; Chordata; Mammalia; Primates; Cercopithecidae.
GGCCCAGCCCUAUGCACUGCUUCUGUCCCUGAUCCUGUGUCCCCCCAAGCCCAACUAGGAAAGAGUACCUGAUUCUUCUUUGCUUCCCUUUGAUAUAUUUCCUUUCCGCCUCCAAAUAGUAGCUGACAGUGACAUCAUUGGCUUCUGGUCUCUUCCAAGCAUGGCAGCGUCCUCAUUGGCUUUAUCCUUGGUGCCAAUGGUUGAUAUUCGACCAUAUGCCACCCACAGCUCUCAGAGAACAAAAUCAGCUGCUGGAGAAGUCCCUUUGCACACCAAGGCAUGGGCAGCAAAGAAUUACAUACCUCCCUGAGAUUAGCAGCCCUGAGCACAAUCAUGUGUUUGCUGGGACCUUGGAGUGGAGAGGCUGAGAAGGCACUACAGAAAUUGCAACCAGGAACUCCACAAGACGUGGGCGGAUGGCGAUGCCUGUCUCUCCCAAAACCUGCCCUAUCUUCCACAAAGUAAGGCUGAUAGGACCCGGCUAGUGUGGACACCCUGUGAGGACCCUCGUUCCUCUACCUCAAUAGAGUAUUCACUUCUGUCCAGCGAAGAAACCCAAGAACAGAGAUAUUUGCAAGUCUGCUCUUUCUCAGUAGGCAGUUUGGUGGAGUAGGUCAGAGCCCCAGCUUACAGCCCAUCACAGAUGGACUUCAGUCUCUGCUCUGCUACUUACUACCUGCCUGAUCUUGGGAAAGUUGCGUAACUUCUCUGAGCUUCAAUUCCUGUAACUGUAACGUGGUGGAAGCAGUCGCCUUCCUCAUAAGUUGUGAUGAGGACUGAUUGCCAGUGAGUGUGGAGUGUCUGGUGCUUAGGAAGACGCUGGUGGCUCUGUUCCCACUCUUCUCUUGUGAUCAUCAAAACAACCUGGAUGGACCAGCCCCACAUGAGCAGCCUCUGUUUUCUCCUGUGCCCUGAGCAGGGUUAGCAUUUGGACCCAACUCCCAUCUCUGGCUAACCAACUCCAUGAUGCAGUGACAGGAAAUCCAUACUUUAUUCAAGAUUUCAUGAGGAUUCCAUAGAGAGGACUCACAACACCUAACCCACAGACACCUACUUCUCUCUUCUAACAUGUUCCUUGCCUGUCAACCCCACGCCUUCUCCUUAUCUCCCCACAAGACAGAAUCUAAACAUCUUGCUUGAUGCUCUGAGCGGUCCAGUCCUCACCUUCAGCUUCAAACCCCAUACUGAAAAACUCAGGGCUGGGGUCAGCAAACGCCUGCCUGGCCUGACAGCUGGUGUGAUUCUGAAGCUCCACAACUUUGACCUAAUCAUCUCUCUAAGGGGUUCUCCUCUCCCCUGUCCUUGGGGAAGGAAACAAGACAAGUCAACCCCGGUGUGAACAAUGUCAAGUUGAUUCCUUUACCGUUUCUCUGGGAUGCUCCAGUUUGCACAGCCAGGGGGAUUUAAGAACCUCUGACUCCCAGGCUUUAUCCUUCUUCAUCCUCCACAAGUGUUUCUCCUGGGCCUUACGCAGAUGAAAGGUGUUUCCGUCUCAUCCUACCUCGGUGCAGUUUAACAAGAAUAUCAGAGAUGCCCACCCCCACUCUUUCAUCAGCCAUGAAAUGAAUCGAACUAGAGUACAAAGCCCUUGACAUCCUUUCAGGAAUGGAACAAAAGGCAUGGUUUCCUGGCACAACAGAAACCUUCCAGCCUUCUUCCUUCCCAGAAAUGGGUGGGCAGCUUACCUCUGCAGGGCCCUACCCUGCUUCCACCCAGAGGCCUGGAUCACACAUCACCCCUUUCUGUGUAGUGGUAAGACGUAGAAUAUAAGCUUUACUACCCUACAGCUCAGAGUUUAAAUCUUGGAUUUCCCCACUUAAUGGUGCAUAAAUUACUUACCCUCUCUGGGCCUCAGUUUCCCCAUCUACAGAACACAGAUAAUAUUAUCUUCCUCAGAAGAUUGUGGUUAAGACCCAGAGACACACAUUCGACACAUGACACACAUUCCCAGCAGAGAGUUGUGAUUUGUUUCUAACGUUGCUAGAGCUGGGUCUGGGGUUUCUGUGCCCACAUGGCUGGCGUCAUGGUAAGCAUCGGUCCAAGGAGGCUGGCAUGCUGACCUCAGGGGCCAGCUGCCUUGCCACUUGGACCCACAUUCUGCCUUCCUGCCUAGACCAUGGGAUUUCAUUCUCAUCAUUUAUUUUCCUCAGAUACGAAAAAAUAGACCAGUGGUCCUCAACUGGGGCAAUUUUGCCACAUCUCUCACCCCCGGGAGACAUUUGGCAAAGUUCGUAGACGUUUUUGGCCAUCACAACUGGAGUAAGGGUGCACUGGCAUUGGUGGGCGAAGGCCAGGAGUACCGCUGAUCAUUCUGCGAUGAACAGGACGGCCCCACAGCAAAAAUCAUCCAGCCCUGAGGUGCUGGGUGGAAAACCCUGAACUAGACCAAACGGGUCAUUUGGUUUCAUCUGUGUCCAGAGGUAGAUAAUACAAGGAUAUUUUUUUCUGAAGUAGGGGAAUAAGUGGUUGGAGGUAACCAUGUAAAAAAUACAUUUGUGGACAAAUCCUUUGUAAAGGACAGUAAGAAUUGUUAUCAAGAGAGUAAGAUCUCAGAUGAUUUUUCUUGUAUUUUAAAUCUUCCUCUAAUGUUAUUCGGGCAACAAACAAAGAAAAAAAAUCAUUCUAGGAUGUGGCAAAAGAUUCAGCUGGUAAUUUAAACAAGCAAACCAGCACUUAAGUGCUGCAAGCCCAUCAAUAGACUCAACAACCUUCAAACCCUCUUCACCCAGUGGGCCAAUUUGUCCACACCCAGUGCACUUUGAAAUCACCUAAGAUAGAAGCAAACUGAGCAAAAUCAGCCUUGGGAGGGGUGAGAAAACCAUCCACGUUAAAAUAAUUUAAGUAGGGCUUUUACAUUCAUUUAAUUUUUACUUCACUGUUCAUUAAACCAGAAAAUGACAGCGAUUGUCAUGACUGGUUAGGUCAGUCGAGACAAAAAAUUUCUGGUAUGACUGAUUGUUUCUUUAAAUUAUUAUCAUUAUUAUUAUUUUUGCCAGAAACUAUUUUGACCUGCCAAGUCAUUAAAAACUUCCAAGCCAAUCUGUAUGUACAAAUAGAGCCAAGGCAGAACAGUGGGGCACAGGGAGAAAAGCAGGCACUUAAAAUACCUUUUACAUUAUUAUAGGAUCUAUAGCUUCCAUCAUAAUGAAGGUAAAAAUAUGACAUUUAUAAUGAAAUGAGUGGCUGAACAUCAGAAGAUGUAAUUAAAAUGAGGAGGAAAAUGACCCCAGUACGUGAUCUUAAAGGUUCAUCAGGGCAACAUGCGUAAAGUCCUAUUCAUUUGAGGCCAGAGAAUGACUUAGAUCCCAAAAUACUAUACUAUUAAAGAAUGAGUUACUCACCAUAUUUCUUGUUAGCCAAACACGUGAGAUACAAUAAAUGCUUUUAGUCACUGUCAGCACAGUGGAGAUAAUUUGCAUAUGAUUUACAUAUAAUCUUUUUGCAGGCAGAUUACAGCGUUCACAAGUCUUUUUUUUUUUUUUUCAAAGAGAAGGAGCCAUUGACUAAUGGAUUUCUUUUAGAUAAUGUUAGAGUUUUUCAGCUUUUGUUGUUCCUGCCUCUAACCACUGAAUAUUAGCAAGCUCAUAAAUUGUCCUUUUGAUUUACAUAUUAACACUCUGAUCAAGACAAGAAAGCAUGACAAUCUAACUUUGAAAUGAUUAUAUAGUGUGGGACUGGGUUUAGUUUCCUGGGAGAAAAUGACAAAGUUAUAAAAUUAUAAACUACAUUAUUUAUGAAAGAGAAAUGCGUCCUGACAGAAAUUAGUUUAAAGGCAAAAUUCUGUAAUGGGUACAGCUUGUUUGAUCUGCCCAUUCUACCUUGUGUAGUCUUGCUGUACUAAUCUGUUUAUUUACUCACCAAUACAUUUAUGCUGCACUCCACAAAUGAUUCUAGAAAGCGCACACACAUACAUAAAAUACACACACAUAGAGAAUAGUUGAGAUGACAAAGAAGAGGACAAAGAAUUAAGCCA